UCUGAUAAGAAAGAGCUCCUGCAGAGAUAAAUCAGAAGGUAGAGAGAGAGAGAAAGUGCCAGGCCUUCAUCUGAAAGGACAAAGAAAAGGAAUUUGGGAGCCCUCUCUAGGCCACCCCAGAGGCAGCCAGUCAGCUCCCCUAAUGGCAUCAGAUGGGUAGAGAUGGAGGCCAGCCCAGCUCAAGCUGAGAGGAUUAAAGAACCAGAGACUUUGCUGAAGCAAAUAGAAAUCAUGGGAUUUGGAAUGGUUAACUGUGAAGAGUGUGGGCUGGGCUUCAGCAAAAUGACAAAUCUGCUUAGUCACCCGAGGAUCCACUCAGGAGAGAAGCCGUAUGUGUGUGGGGUGUGUGAGAAGGCCUUGAGUGGAAAGAAGAGCCUAGCCAGACAUCAGAAGGUACACUCGGAGAAAAAAAAAAUGUGUGCCAGGAGUGUGGGCAAGGUUUUAGCCGGAAGUCAACACUCAUCAUUCAUGAGGGGACACACUCGGGUGGGCGAGAAGCCUUAGAUGUGCAGGGAGUGUGGGCGUGGCUUUAAUCAGAAGUCAAACCUCAUCAUCCAUCAAAGGACACAUUCAGGGGAGCAGCCUGACAUGUGCAGGGAGUGUCGUAAAGGUUUUAGGCAGAAAUUAGCUGUUGUUAAACACAAGAGGACACACUUAGAGGAGAAAAACCAUUGUGUGCAGUGACUGUGGCCUUGGCUUCAGUGACAGAUCAAACCUCAUCUCCCACACCAAAGAACACACACUUAGGGGAAAAGCCUUACGUUUGCAAGCAGUGUGGGCAGUGCUUCAGGCAAAGGACAACCCUUGUCAACCACCAGAGGACGCGCUCAAAGGAGAAGCCUUAUGUGUGUGGUGUAUGUGGGCACAUCUUUCGCCAGAAUUCAACUCUCAUCUCUCACAGGAGGAUGCACACGGGGGAGAAACCAUAUGUGUGUGGGGUGUGUGGACGUGGCUUUAGUUUAAAAUCCCGCCUCAGUAGACACCAGAACACUCACUCAGGGGAGAAGCCUGUUGGUGUGUAAGGACUGUGGUGGAGGGUUCAACCAGCCGUCCAAUCUCAUCAGACAAAAGAGGACACACUUUGGGGAGAAGCCCAUGGUGUGUGAGGAAUGUGGACGAGGCUUUAGCCAGAAGUCAAACUUCAUUGCACACCAGAGGACACACUCAGGACAAAAGCCAUAUGUGUGCCGAGAGUGUGGGCGAGGCUUUAGUCACGAGGCUGGGCUCAUCAGACACAAGAGGAAGCAUUCAAGGGAGAGACGGUGUAUGGGCAGGCAGUGUGGACUAGGCUUUAGUAAUGAGGCAGCUUUGAUGGCACAUAAGCAGGUGUCCUUUGAAGAGAAGCUUUGUGUGCGCAGAGUGUGGCCAAGGCUUUCUCCAGAAGUCAUGCUUCACCUUACAUCAGAUGACACCCAAGGGGGAGAAGAUUUACACAUGCAAGACCUGAGGCUUUAGGCAGACACAGAAAGAUAGAAUGUGCCCACCACAAACUGCCCCUCCAGCCUGACUCUGAAAGCCUAUUUGGAGUGAUCUUCUGACCCCUUAUACUCUCUUUGA
RNAcentral lists this long non-coding RNA (1557 nucleotides) under Mus musculus (house mouse). RNAcentral describes it as "long non-coding RNA chr2:144465175-144466732". Lineage: Eukaryota; Metazoa; Chordata; Mammalia; Rodentia; Muridae. The record is from RNAcentral.